RNAcentral lists this non-coding RNA (124 nucleotides) under Paramoeba aestuarina. The record is from RNAcentral. Lineage: Eukaryota; Discosea; Flabellinia; Dactylopodida; Paramoebidae.
GAACAAUGGCAACACCUUUGAUUGUUCUCGCCAAAGAAAAAAUUUGUUCGAAUUUCAAGUCGGGAUGGGUAAUGUUAUCCAAGGCUGGGAUCAAGGGCUGUUAGGCUUUACUCUGGGUGAACGA